UUCGUGCGUCCGAUUAUGGGAAUACCCCCUCUCUCUCUCUCUCUAAUCACUCUCCUUCUCUCUCUUCGCAUCUACUCGUUAUUCUAAUUCUACCUCUUUGCCUACUUCUCUUUAGUCCUUGUCUCUCCUCUCUUUUUUAUUAAAGAGGGGCUCGGUUUGUCGAUACAGGGAUCAGACACUGCAGACCAUCUCUAUUUAGAGCAUUCUUCUUUUCAUCGCUUUCCUCUUUCGUGUUCUCAUCCCCUCCUUUUCGAUCUCUUCUUCUCAAAUCCUCUAAAUUCUCCAUUAUAUUGCUUAAAUUUGCAAUUUCUGCUCUGUAAUUCUUCGUCUUCUUCCUUCUUGAGGUUUUGUGAUUACUGAGAUUACUUUUCAGUUAAGAAUGUUCGAGAUGAUCGAUAUGUUAUCUGGUUUUCAAGAUGUGAACGUGGAGAGACAAAAGAUCCAAAAUCCGAAAAGGCUGGAAAGAUCGUUGCAUGCUUUUCCACGGCUUUCUUGAACUUGGUACUCUGCUCAGCUCUUUUUCUGAUCCUCUCUCAAACAAACAAACAAAAAUAGCUACACAAAGCACAUUUCAGUACGAAGCUCAAGAAAGCCGUGGGAAAACAUGGAAGGAUUUUCUUAAUUCUCAUCUUUGACAAUUCUCAGAUCCCAUCUUCAAAAGUAAACUAAAAGCUAGAUCAGGUUUCAGAAGAUAAGAGCAAUAUUAGAUUCAGAAAACCAGAAAACAGUAGUGGAUGGAAUUCGACUUGGAAGAAGAUAAGGAUUAGUCUGAAAAGCUGUUAUCUGCAUUUUCACGUCGAGCCAGAUCCAGUUUGUUUUAUCUCUUGUUUUCUUAAACAAAUAAAAAUAAAAAUAAAAUCGAAGCAAGAAAGAAAGGCCAGAUCUGGAUUAAAAGAAUAUCCCCAACAAUAAUUAUUUUCCUUAAAUGUCUGCAAAUAUUUAUUUCUUGGCAAAGCUUAAUUUCCAAUCCAGAUUUCGUUAUGAGAAAUUUCCUCUUGUAACCGUAGAUCCUUCAAAAUGGAUGUUGGAAUUUAUAUAUAUAUAUAUAUAUAUAUAUAUUUACGUAUAAAUGUCUGGCAGAUUUCGUUUUGCCGAUUUGUUUCAUUUAACAUCAUGUUUUGAUACUAAUAACACAAAGCCCACAAACACAAAACUCUUAUUUGAGCUUGAUUAGCUUUGAUCUUAUCUUUGCUUCUUUUAAGUGUUUCGUAUAUUGUAUCAACUCUUUUUCUAGUGUGUGACUGGUCUGCAUAGAAACUCUGAUUUUUUCUCUACUCUGUUGUUAUCGAAAGGGGGAGGAGGAAAAUAUCAUCGAAUUAACUCAUUCAAUCAAAUGAUUUCUUUAUGAGGCUUAACUAAUGACUGAAGAGAAGGGUCUCUCUCUACGCACAAAAAAUAGUUCAGUAUUUUGGAUUUUUUUUUUUUUUUUUAAUUUUCUUCUUUCUCUUUUUUAAAAUUUAGGUAAAGGACAUUGAAAUAAUAGAGGUUCUGCCUUGUGGGAUCGGAUGUUUCAGACUUCUAAUCCGGUUGAUAUUUCGUACCCAAAAAAAUAAAAAUAAAAAAUGAAAAUUGAUAUUACUUAUUAAGAGGAGGUUAGGUAUGCUAUCGCUUUCUUGGAGCUGGCGAUUCAAUCAGUGGGAAUGUUGGGAAAGGCAUAAGGACUUUUUCAAGGGGAGAAGGAGAGGGAUUGACACAGGUAUACCAACAGCAUAGCCAGUCUUUUCUUUAUUUAUAAAUUACAGACAAUACACACCACUAAAGAAAAGUCUCGAUGAAGGGCCCUUGAUCUUAAAAAACACUUUUGAAGAUCGAGAUUGGAUUGGUUUUUCUAUCGAAAACGAAGAAGGCCGAGGAUGGCCUACAGUGCUUGUUAUCUGAAGGGAACACACUUUUUCGACCGCGGUGGUAUGUCCUCUCCAUGUUCCGCCCAUUGGCCAAUUGAGAUAGCAGCUUUCGGACUUUGCCAGCCCCUAUCCCUUGAAGAUCUUGCUCUAAAUAAUGGUUAAAGAGCAUGAACUAUACAACAAUGCAUACCAAAAACAUCAUAGUUUUGUUUUCUUAUUUCCAUUUUAGAAUGGAAAUCCUCUACACGUAAUCGUGACAACACUUGUUCUUUUUGUUUUCAUAUAUAAUCUUCUUCACCUUUAAAUGGCAGCAAGUGGAUUGGGUGUUGGCCCAAUAGAUGCAAUGUAUAGAGGAUUCAAUCUCAUACCAUUAUCAAGUCUGGUGAGAGUUGUUUGUUUGUAGUGGCUGUUGGAGGAAGAAUAUGGUGGGAGGGCAAUGUACUAGGUAAUUUGGAGAUUAUAAAAUAUAAGAGGAGAAAGAGAGGUG
This is a long non-coding RNA of Macadamia integrifolia, 2331 nucleotides long. RefSeq lists it as uncharacterized. The transcript is spliced from 2 exons. Lineage: Eukaryota; Viridiplantae; Streptophyta; Magnoliopsida; Proteales; Proteaceae. The record is from RefSeq and is a predicted model, not a curated record.